This is a small nuclear RNA of Phyllostomus discolor (pale spear-nosed bat), 107 nucleotides long. Lineage: Eukaryota; Metazoa; Chordata; Mammalia; Chiroptera; Phyllostomidae. The record is from RefSeq and is a predicted model, not a curated record.
GUGCUCACUUCAGCAUCACAUAUACUAAAAUUGGAGUGAUACAGAGAUGAUUAGCAUGGCCCCUGCUCAAAGAUGACAAGCAAAUUUAUGAAAUGUUCCAGAUUUUU